UACAGAGGUCCCAAGCGUUGUUCGGAUUCACUGGGCGUAAAGGGUGCGCAGGUGGUCGGGUAAGUCUGAUGUGAAGUCCCGCAGCUUAACUGCGGAAUGGCAUUGGAUACUAUUCGGCUAGAGGGUUGGAGGGGGGACUGGAAUUCUCGGUGUAGCAGUGAAAUGCGUAGAUAUCGAGAGGAACACCAGUGGCGAAGGCGAGUCCCUGGACAACUCCUGACGCUGAGGCACGAAAGCUAGGGGAGCAAACAGG
Molecule: ribosomal RNA, 253 nt
Filed under: uncultured bacterium
Lineage: Bacteria
Description: partial 16S ribosomal RNA
Rfam family: Bacterial small subunit ribosomal RNA
Source: RNAcentral